UUUAUACAAAUAUUUUGCGUAUCUUCUAUUUUGGAGGGGAAGUUGACAAUUUUAAUAGAAAUUUUUCAAUAUUGUACAGCGUAGAUGGAUAUAUAAGAUAGACUAUCUAUCUAAACGCACAUCUACCUAUACUACAGUAUAUUCACACUAUACAAUACAAUACAAUGCAUUCAUCAUAAACUAUUCACACUAAUACGAGAUAUAAAAUUUACUCAAACAAGAUUGUUUGAAAUUGAAUUGUUUAACAUAAGAUUACGCAAGUCAAAUAUUUUCUGACUAUUUAAAUAGAAGGUUUCGUGAUUCUAUUUUAAAUUUUUGUGAUAUGGAUAAUGACUGUACGUAUAUACGUACCCACCAAUCCAAUUAAUAAAAAAUAUCCUAAAAUGUGAAAAUAUAUUAACAAAUAUGGCCUUGUAAAACAAGACUACUCUGACUAUACUACACUAGAGUCAACCCAACCAAGCUCAGCGUACGCGUCAGCUCCCGGUUUGACAAAAAAAAAAAACAUAUACACAAAACCAUUUUUGUUUUUC
This 533-nucleotide long non-coding RNA is filed under the name Capsella rubella. Its description in RNAcentral is "long non-coding RNA (CRUB_LNC004472)". Lineage: Eukaryota; Viridiplantae; Streptophyta; Magnoliopsida; Brassicales; Brassicaceae. The record is from RNAcentral.